Molecule: long non-coding RNA, 327 nt
Filed under: Gossypium raimondii (Peruvian cotton)
Lineage: Eukaryota; Viridiplantae; Streptophyta; Magnoliopsida; Malvales; Malvaceae
Description: long non-coding RNA (GRAI_LNC002510)
Source: RNAcentral
AAGUUAAUCAAAAUCCCGCUCACCCAAAAAAUGAUUUUUUGUUACUCGCGCAUUACCCCCUCUUCUUCUCAUUUCUGUCGUGUGCCCUAAAUCACCAAAUAAUAGUUUGUUUUUCUUAGUUGAAAUCCCCCAAAUUUCCCAUUUCCAACAAUACCAAUCAAUACACCUACACCAAUCACACUUCUUUUUCCUUUUCAUUUCACUGGACUGAAACCCUAGAUGAGAAGAAAUCCUAGAUGAGAAGAAAUCGGAGGAAGAGGAGUUGAAAGAUAAAGAAAUCGGAGGAGGGGGAGUAAGGAGGUUUUUGCGCUUUGUUUUCCCCNNNNN